RNAcentral lists this ribosomal RNA (204 nucleotides) under Clonostachys sp. RNAcentral's name for it is "partial small subunit ribosomal RNA". It matches the Rfam family "Eukaryotic small subunit ribosomal RNA", at positions 1334 to 1562 of the family's 1831-position model. The record is from RNAcentral. Lineage: Eukaryota; Fungi; Ascomycota; Sordariomycetes; Hypocreales; Bionectriaceae.
AACGAGACCUUAACCUGCUAACUAGCCCGUUUUGCUUUGGCAGUACGCUGGCUUCUUAGAGGGACUAUCGGCUCAAGCCGAUGGAAGUUGGAGGCAAUAACAGGGCUGUGAUGCCCUUAGAGGGGCGGGGCCGCACGCGCGCUACACUGACGGAGCCAGCGAGUACUCCCUUGGCCGAAAGGCCUGGGUAAUCUUGUGAAACUC